CCUACGGGUGGCAGCAGUGGGGAAUAUUGCACAAUGGGGGAAACCCUGAUGCAGCGACGCCGCGUGAGUGAAGAAGUAUUUCGGUACGUAAAGCUCUAUCAGCAGGGAAGAAAAUGACGGUACCUGACUAAGAAGCCCCGGCUAACUACGUGCCAGCAGCCGCGGUAAUACGUAGGGGGCAAGCGUUAUCCGGAUUUACUGGGUGUAAAGGGAGCGUAGACGGCAGCGCAAGUCUGGAGUGAAAUCCCAGGGCUUAACCAUGGAACUGCUUUAGAAACUGCUCAGCUAGAGUGCAGGAGAGGCAAGUGGAAUUCUUAGUGUAGCGGUGAAAUGCGUAGAUAUUAGGAGGAACACCAGUGGCGAAGGCGGCUUGCUGGACUGUAACUGACACUGAGGCUCGAAAGCGUGGGAGCAAACAGGAUUAGAUACCCCUGUAGUC
Molecule: ribosomal RNA, 439 nt
Filed under: uncultured bacterium
Lineage: Bacteria
Description: partial 16S ribosomal RNA
Rfam family: Bacterial small subunit ribosomal RNA
Source: RNAcentral